Molecule: long non-coding RNA, 567 nt
Organism: Xiphophorus couchianus (Monterrey platyfish)
Lineage: Eukaryota; Metazoa; Chordata; Actinopteri; Cyprinodontiformes; Poeciliidae
Exons: 2
Source: RefSeq, a predicted model, not a curated record
UUUCCAGUUACCUUGGCGAUGUAAAGCCUGACGUUCCUGGAGAAUCCCGGCCUGAGCUCCUCUGCCUGCAGGACAACACAUGAAGGUCACCAGGACAACACAUGAAGGUCACCAGUUAGAGAGAAAUAAACACUUCUCUGUUACUGGCGGAGCUAAACGUCAGAAUGUGACUUUCAUUUGUUCCAUGUUUCCAGUGAACUGACUUAUUCAAUUUAACCAGACAGAUGCAGUUGCAAAUCAGGAAACAGUCAAAAUGGCAACUAAUUGUUAGCAUGUAUGUCAAAGUAUUUCAGGUAACUGAUAUCAGAGGUCUGGUUUAAUCCCACUAAAGUGACUAGAGUCAAAUGUAGAAGGAUCUUCAGGGAUUUAUAGUAAACUAGGAUUAUAAUCCUUACCACAGUUAACCAUAAAACAUUAUUGAUAUUUGUUCAAAAUAUACAACUGUGAUAGCUAUCUCUACCUUGUUUCUUACUGCUCACCCAGGGAAAUAAACCAAACUAAUUUAUUGUUAUUCGGGAUAAUUCUUGUUGCUUUAAAAGAAAAAUAAAGAAUAUCUAAAAAACUUGG